This 130-nucleotide ribosomal RNA is filed under the name uncultured Hyphomicrobiales bacterium. RNAcentral's name for it is "uncultured Rhizobiales bacterium partial 16S ribosomal RNA". It matches the Rfam family "Bacterial small subunit ribosomal RNA", at positions 378 to 525 of the family's 1533-position model. The record is from RNAcentral. Lineage: Bacteria; Pseudomonadati; Pseudomonadota; Alphaproteobacteria; Hyphomicrobiales.
GCAGCCUGAUCCAGCCAUGCCGCGUGAGUGAUGAAGGCCUUAGGGUUGUAAAGCUCUUUCGCCGGUGAAGAUAAUGACGGUAACCGGAAAAGAAGCCCCGGCUAACUUCGUGCCAGCAGCCGCGGUAAUA